Non-coding RNA from Mycena galericulata, 92 nucleotides. The record is from the annotation of a GenBank genome assembly. NCBI's taxonomy places the organism in Eukaryota, Fungi, Basidiomycota, Agaricomycetes, Agaricales, Mycenaceae.
GCCUUUGUUGAUUAUUGGAUAUCACCUCAGCUCUAUUGCACUUGGAAAAUGUGCCAAUUGAGGUCACGGAGGUUCGAAUCCUCCCGAAGGCA